GUGUUGUUGGUGUUAUUGGUAGCAUGGCCGGAUGUGACCCGGCAGGAGAGGGUUCGAUUCCCCACUUCACCCCA
This 74-nucleotide transfer RNA is filed under the name Flavobacteriaceae bacterium. Its description in RNAcentral is "tRNA-His". It matches the Rfam family "tRNA". Rfam says of the family: Transfer RNA (tRNA) molecules are approximately 80 nucleotides in length. Their secondary structure includes four short double-helical elements and three loops (D, anti-codon, and T loops). The record is from RNAcentral. Lineage: Bacteria; Pseudomonadati; Bacteroidota; Flavobacteriia; Flavobacteriales; Flavobacteriaceae.